Molecule: long non-coding RNA, 628 nt
Organism: Suricata suricatta (meerkat)
Lineage: Eukaryota; Metazoa; Chordata; Mammalia; Carnivora; Herpestidae
Exons: 3
Source: RefSeq, a predicted model, not a curated record
GAGGCCGGUCGGGAGGGGCUGUUUUCCGGCGGAAGCUGCUGCGAGGCCCGCACCGGCAUUCUCUACCCCGCGCGCCUCCCUAUUGUCGGAAAUGGGGUCUCUGGUCUCUGCGCCAUGCCCCACCACUUCCCCAACGCCCAGAGGCCCCCCGAAGGACCAAGGGUUACCGACUACACAUGAGACGUUUGAAGGUUCCUGGCCUCUUAAGAAAAUUGGCCACCAAAGAAUGAAAAAUCGCGCCCUAUAUUUGAUGAAUAGAACUGAAGAUUACUUUGCCAAAGAUUAACACAGGAUGGUAAAGAGGAGAUGUGGCGAGGCGGUGAGACCACAGCAAAAAGUAAAUACUGCCAGUAGAAAAUGGGGGAAUUCCUUUUAAAUAUGUGAUGUCUGUGUAAGUACAAUUACCAGGGGAUGUGUUAAUUUGGAGAUAUCUUGUAUCUUUUCUAAUCCUGGUAAAAGGGAGGACAGCCACAGAAGUUGGAGGGUAUGUAAGUUGUAAAAUGGGCAUAAGGACAUCACCAAUAAGCUGGACUCCAGAAAGCUCUGUCUAGGAUUUUAUUAGACUGCUUUCCCCCCAAUAUACCUGUUUUGGAAGAUUGAGACAAAAAGGCAGAAACUCACAUUAAAU